CAGUAGCCACGGUAAUACAGAGGAUGCAAGCGUUAUCCGGAAUGAUUGGGCGUAAAGCGUCUGUAGGUGGCUUUUCAAGUCCGCCGUCAAAUCCCAGGGCUCAACCCUGGACAGGCGGUGGAAACUACCAAGCUAGAGUACGGUAGGGGCAGAGGGAAUCUCCGGUGGAGCGGUGAAAUGCGUUGAGAUCGAAAAGAACACCAACGACGAAAGCACUCUGCUGGGUCGACACUGACACUGAGAGACGAAAGCUAGGGGAGCAAAUGGGAUUAGAUACCCCUGUAGUCCCUGUCUCUUAUAC
This 301-nucleotide ribosomal RNA is filed under the name uncultured bacterium. Its description in RNAcentral is "partial 16S ribosomal RNA". It matches the Rfam family "Bacterial small subunit ribosomal RNA", at positions 509 to 807 of the family's 1533-position model. The record is from RNAcentral.